RNAcentral lists this ribosomal RNA (205 nucleotides) under uncultured bacterium. RNAcentral describes it as "partial 16S ribosomal RNA". It matches the Rfam family "Bacterial small subunit ribosomal RNA", at positions 1299 to 1500 of the family's 1533-position model. The record is from RNAcentral.
UGCAGCCUGCAACCCGGCUGCACGAAGCCGGAAUCGCUAGUAAUCGCAGAUCAGCAUGCUGCGGUGAAUACGUUCCCGGGUCUUGUACACACCGCCCGUCACACCAUGGGAGUCGGAAAUGCCCGAAGUCUGUGACCCCAACCUGAAAGGGAGGGAGCAGCCGAAGGCAGGUCGGAUGACUGGGGUGAAGUCGUAACAAGGUACC